Molecule: ribosomal RNA, 505 nt
Filed under: uncultured bacterium
Lineage: Bacteria
Description: partial 16S ribosomal RNA
Rfam family: Bacterial small subunit ribosomal RNA
Source: RNAcentral
GACGAACGCUGGCGGCGUGCCUAAUACAUGCAAGUAGAACGCACAGUUUAUACCGUAGCUUGCUACACCAUAGACUGUGAGUUGCGAACGGGUGAGUAACGCGUAGGUAACCUGCCUGGUAGCGGGGGAUAACUAUUGGAAACGAUAGCUAAUACCGCAUAAUAUUGAUUAUUGCAUGAUAAUUGAUUGAAAGAUGCUAUUGCAUCACUACCAGAUGGACCUGCGUUGUAUUAGCUAGUAGGUGAGGUAACGGCUCACCUAGGCGACGAUACAUAGCCGACCUGGGAGGGUGAUCGGCCACACUGGGACUGAGACACGGCCCAGACUCCUACGGGAGGCAGCAGGAGGGAAUCUUCGGCAAUGGACGAAAGUCUGACCGAGCAACGCCGCGGGAGUGAAGAAGGGUUUCGGAUCGUAAAGCUCUGUUGUAAGAGAAGAACGGGUGUGAGAGUGGAAAGUUCACACUGUGACGGUAUCUUACCAGAAAGGGACGGCUAACUACGUG